This 23-nucleotide non-coding RNA is filed under the name Drosophila melanogaster (fruit fly). Lineage: Eukaryota; Metazoa; Arthropoda; Insecta; Diptera; Drosophilidae. The record is from RNAcentral. RNAcentral also lists the same sequence under 1 other name.
GGGGUGAAACUGUACGUUAUAUG